This 63-nucleotide microRNA precursor is filed under the name Python bivittatus (Burmese python). Its description in RNAcentral is "Pbv-Mir-92-P1d_pre stem-loop". Lineage: Eukaryota; Metazoa; Chordata; Lepidosauria; Squamata; Pythonidae. The record is from RNAcentral.
AGGGUUGGGGCUGAGUGCAAUGUUGUGAUUUUUCCCACGAAUAUUGCACUCGUCCUGGCCUCC